Chiloscyllium plagiosum (whitespotted bambooshark) is the source of this 2546-nucleotide long non-coding RNA. RefSeq lists it as uncharacterized. Lineage: Eukaryota; Metazoa; Chordata; Chondrichthyes; Orectolobiformes; Hemiscylliidae. The record is from RefSeq and is a predicted model, not a curated record.
AGCCAUGUAGUGUAUAUGAUCUGUUUUCAAAUUUUUUUUUGACUUAUGUAAAUCUGGGCUGAAAGCAAUUAGUUUUAGCUUGCAUAAAUCAAGGUUAUGAAAUGCAUUUCUCAUGCUGAAACCUUCAGUUCCUGAACUGAAAAAUUGAAAAAGUGGAAAGUUGUUCGCAAAAAUGAUAGUCCGUGCCAUAAAAUUAAUAUCAAGCCACAGUAUCUACUGUUAUUUAUUAAUUUAUUUUUAAAACAGAAUACUGAUAGCUUGUUUUUGUUGCAAGUGUUAGAUAAAUAAAUUGAUAUAAAUUAUUCAUCAACCAAUAAAUGACACGCUUUUCAUGAUAUAAACAAUCUGACCAAGAGAAAGGAACUGAAAGUGUUUCUAUUUAAAAAAAUAAUGUCCAAAUAGAAACAAAAUUACAGCUGCUCUUUAAAACCUCCAACAUUUAUUUAAGGUUCAGUUAAGCCUUUGGCAAAACUACAAUACAAACUACAGCUGUGACAGUAAGUGAGAUUCACUAUUAAUUCUAUUAAACUCCUGCAUCGUUUAUUCUGGAAACUACAAACACAAAAUGUUUUGUUUGCUUGCAGCCAGAACAAAAUAGAAAAAAAAAUGAUUGGAGUUGUAUAAACAUUUGUAUUUCCACACUAAUAAUAAAUACCGUGUCAAGAGUUACAGGGAUAAGGCAGGAAAAUGGGAUUGCGAAACUUAUCAGCCAGGAUUGAGUGGCAAAGCUGACUCAAUGGGGAAAAAUCCUCUAAUUCUGCUCCUACAUCUUAUCGUCUUAGAGUCUAAUGGUCUAAAUAGCCCUCAAAAGAAGAAAGCCACAUCUGAGAAAUUCUUUAGUGCUGCAUCUAUUUCACAGACAUGAACUCAAUUCCCAAGUAUUGAGUAUGGUAGUUGACAGUCAUGUAUAAUAUGCUUGAAGUGAAUGUUUCAUCUUCUGGUUGGUGCAGUAGGGACUUUUGUUGUCUGUCAAAUGUUUAGGUACAUUUUAAUAACAACUGCUUAUUUACAUACUAACAUUGUAUACAGUUAUUGAUCUACACUAGCUCAGAGUCUCUCCUCCAUGAGAUCUUUCCCUCUUAGGAGAAAGUGAGGUCUGCAGAUGCUGGAGAUCAGAACAACACAUUUCCAGCAUCUUUCCCUCUUAGUCAUAUAAUGUUACAUCAUCAUUACACCACAAUUCCAUAGGCUCAUGCUGUUAAACCAUGUUAGACCACACUACAUUUCACCCUUCCCCAUUCUUAUUUCUUGUUAUUUUCAAUAUGGUCCCAGAAGAUUCAAAGAGACAGUUUAAUAGCUUUCACCAAUCUGAUUUAUAUUGGCAUCUGAGGUUCAUGGUCUGUUGCACUCCUCCUUAACUCUGUUUGAGUGGCUCUUCCUUGGGCUUGCGUGGAGCUUUCAGAGAUUCCUCUGUCUUCUUCAGGAUCAAAGUAGUUUGACCCUGUUUGUACUGUUCUCUCUUAGGACAGUUUCUCCUUACAUCAUCUGAUGAUGAUUUCAUCAAUGAUCUUGGCUAUUCCAUCUCCUUAACAGCAAUUCCUUAUUUGCCGUAGGUCUUGGAUUCUACUGCUUUUCUGGCUGAAGAAUUGAUACUUCUCUUGCUUGACGGCAAUGAUGGAAGUUCCUGGUGUUUCACUCUUUGAACUUCUUCUUGUCUCACUUUAUCAUGGCCUUCCUCGGUAAUAUGAGGUUUUGAUUUCUUGGACAAUGUUCCAAACUGCACUUGUGGACUUCUCCCCAUUAAUAAUUCUUCUGGCAAUAAUUGAUCUUGCAAUGGUGACAAUCUAUGACUCAAUAGAGCCAAUUAUUCUUCUUCAGAAAUUUUACUAUGGGUCUGACUCCUCCUUUUGCUUCACCAUUUGGUUGUGGGUAAUUUGCUGAAAUUAUUAUGUGCCUGCAUCUAUGUUCCCACGGAAAUUCUGUAAAUAGCUCAUUUGUGAAUUGUUGUUCAUUGUCAGAUACCCCCAUGUCAGGACUAUUGUGAGUCACUCACUCACCAGACCAGAAAUGAAGAAAAGUCAACUCCAAGGAUGGGGAAUUUGAAAACAGAACUGUUAAGCUAAUAAUUACAUCCACCCAAAUGGAAGCAUUCCUGAAUGAGAAGACAUUGAAUAACUACCAGAGGAUGGAUGUACAAGUGAUUUAAAGAAAAGCUUCCAGUUUGUCCCAAGUCCCAAUCAAGCAGAAAUCUGGUGGAUUGAUGCUGAAGAUUUAUCCAAUAUUGCACUGCAUUGGGCGGCCUUACUGUGAAGUUGACAAGUAAGCAGGUCUGUACAGUAUUGUAUGGAAUGGGUGCCUAUACAGAUGGUAUGAUCGCCAGAGAGGGGGUCCACAAUAAAAGCAUCAUGCAUAAUGAAGUAAUAAAAACAUUUGAUGCCAUCUUCAACUUUCAAAAGUAUACAAUUGCUGAGCUGACUAAAUUUAACAUGUAGAUUCAACUGCAAUGGGAAAUCAUUGAUAGAUUUAUAAAUAAACUGUAUGGACGUGUGGAGUGAAUAUGGCUGCUUAAUAAAUAAUUAAUCCUGUUAAUAAAACUUUUUACCUGA